This 413-nucleotide ribosomal RNA is filed under the name Wallaconchis achleitneri. RNAcentral describes it as "partial 16S ribosomal RNA". It matches the Rfam family "Archaeal large subunit ribosomal RNA", at positions 1989 to 2658 of the family's 2987-position model. The record is from RNAcentral. Lineage: Eukaryota; Metazoa; Mollusca; Gastropoda; Systellommatophora; Onchidiidae.
AUGAAAAGUUUAAAUGGCCGCAGUACCCUGACUGUGCUAAGGUAGCAUAAUCAAUUGGCCUUUAAUUGAGGUCUGGAAUGAAUGGAUUAAUACGGAAACUAACUGUCUCUUUUUAGAAUUUGUUGAAGUUAUCUUUAAAGGUGAAAAGGCCUUUAAUAUGUGAAAAUAGACGAGAAGACCCUAAGAGUUUUGAUUAUAGGUAAAGGUUUUUGCUUUUUUUUUUUGCUGGGGCGGCAAGGAAACAAAUUAACUUUCUUGGUAAAAUUAACAAAGUUGACGCGAAAUUUUAUGAAGAGCUAAUAAAUUACCUUAGGGAUAACAGCAUAAUUAUUUUAAUGUUUGUGACCUCGAUGUUGGACUAGGAAAGCUUCAAAUGGCUAGCCGCCAAAAGUAUUAUGUUCUGUUCGAACAGU